GGGCAGCUAGCCAGUGAUGGCAUGCGAAUCUCGAAAGCCUAUCUCAGUUCGGAUUGGAGGCUGAAACCCGCCUCCAUGAAGUUGGAUUCGCUAGUAAUCGCGCAUCAGCCAUGGCGCGGUGAAUACGUUCCCGGGCCUUGUACACACCGCCCGUCAAGCCAUGGGAGCCGGGGUGCCUGAAGUUCGUUACCGCAAGGAUCGACCUAGGGCAAAACUGGUGACUGGGGCUAAGUCGUAACAAGGUACC
This 247-nucleotide ribosomal RNA is filed under the name uncultured bacterium. Its description in RNAcentral is "partial 16S ribosomal RNA". It matches the Rfam family "Bacterial small subunit ribosomal RNA", at positions 1244 to 1500 of the family's 1533-position model. The record is from RNAcentral.